GUUUCUCGAGGCCAUUCGAGUUUUUGAGGCUAGGGUCAGAAGGUUUAGGUUUUUUGGAUAUGGUUUUGGUGCAAAAUUUGUGUCAUUUGGGGUUUAUAUGAAGAAGUUAUAGGCGCUCAAAGUUAAGGUGUAAGUUUUCGACGUACUGUCACGCUUUUGAGCAUACCGCACGGUUACGGACAGCAAACGAGGAUCGGCGACCGGAUUUGAAGAGAGCACUUUUUCGGCUACAGUUUGUGCAUACUGUUUAUCGAAUUCCAAGCAUUUAUGAAGGAGAUAUUGGCAGUUGAAGUCAGCGCUUGAUAUCUAAGGGUAGUAAGUAGCCCGAAUUACUUGUGCUUGUGAUUUGAGCUAUAUCUUAGACAAUUUGAUGAGGUUUUAGUUCAAAAUUUCCAAGAUUGUGUGUAAUCUUGUUAUAAAGCUUUUUAUAUAAGUUUUGUGUGAUUUGGAGCUUGGGUUUAAGAGAUAUAAGAAAAAUAGUUUUCGGGUGCUUGUAAGUUAGGGUUUUGUGCACCUGCUAGGGUUUCUAAGAUGCCGAACGAUCGGUGAUGGAUGUACGGUUCAAUUUUUUUGUGGUACAAGUAAAGUAUAGCAUCUAGCUUAGGUAGAAAUUUGAAACAAAGUGAACGGUUGGAUCAACAUAUAUGAAUUUCCAAACUCUGAUGUAAAAAGGUCCUUGGCGGGAAGAAAUAUAUUUUGAAGAAUUUUAAGAUAUUUUGAAUUUUUAUACAAAGCAAGGAGUUUGUUUCUGGGAGCUAAGGCAUUAUAUAAAAAAGAAACCUAAACUCUCUACAGCUAGAUACCCAGUGUAUUCCCAGAUAGAAAAUCACGCCAUACGACAACGAGUGGUAGAAUAUAUAGAAAAUUAUGAUCCACAGGAUGAUUCGAGUGUGCUAAGAGUAGUACUGAUUCGAAUAGAUGAGAAUAUCUUACACAAGAUCUUACAUUUACUAACCAAAGAGCUUGAGGUGGG
Molecule: long non-coding RNA, 973 nt
Filed under: Physcomitrium patens
Lineage: Eukaryota; Viridiplantae; Streptophyta; Bryopsida; Funariales; Funariaceae
Description: long non-coding RNA (PPAT_LNC014121)
Source: RNAcentral